AGAGUUUGAUCCUGGCUCAGAUUGAACGCUGGCGGCACGCUUAACACAUGCAAGUCGAACGGCAGCAGAAGAAAGCUUGCUUUCUUGCUGGCGAGUGGCGGACGGGUGAGUAAUGCGUAGGAACCUACCCUGAAGAGGGGGACAACCCGGGGAAACUCGGGCUAAAACCGCAUAAUCUUUUCGAAGCAAAGCUGCCUCACACUUAAGUUUUUUACGGAGAAUUUAAGGUGAGGUGGUGCUUUAGGAGGGGCCUACGUUGGAUUAGCUUGUUGGUGAGGUAAAGGCUCACCAAGGCAAUGAUCCAUAGCUGUUCUGAGAGGAAGAUCAGCCACACUGGGACUGAGACACGGCCCAGACUCCUACGGGAGGCAGCAGUGGGGAAUAUUGGACAAUGGGGGAAACCCUGAUCCAGCGAUGCCGCGUGUGUGAAGAAGGCCUGCGGGUUGUAAAGCACUUUUAAUGGGGAGGAAUAGUUCCAUGUUAAUAGCGUGGAGCAGUGACGUUGCCCAUAGAAUAAGCACCGGCAAACUCUGUGCCAGCAGCCGCGGUAAUACAGAGGGUGCGAGCGUUAAUCGGAAUGACUGGGCGUAAAGGGCACGUAGGCGGUUGGACAAGUUAGAUGUGAAAUAUCAGGGCUUAACCUUGGUGCUGCAUCUAAAACUGUCUAACUAGAGUUCACUAGAGGGAAGCGGAAUUUCCGGUGUAGCGGUGAAAUGCGUAGAUAUCGGAAGGAACAUCAGUGGCGAAGGCGGCUUUCUGGAGUUGAACUGACGCUAAGGUGCGAAAGCGUGGGGAGCAAACGGGAUUAGAUACCCCGGUAGUCCACGCUGUAAACGAUGAGUACUAGCUGUUGGAAUGCGACGACAUUUUAGUAGCGUAGUUAACGCGAUAAGUACUCCGCCUGGGGAUUACGGCCGCAAGGCUAAAACUCAAAGGAAUUGACGGGGGCCCGCACAAGCGGUGGAACAUGUGGUUUAAUUCGAUGCAACGCGAAGAACCUUACCUACUCUUGACAUCUAUGGAACAUCUGAGAGAUCAGUUGGUGCUGGAAACAGAACCAUAAGACAGGUGCUGCAUGGCUGUCGUCAGCUCGUGUCGUGAGAUGUUGGGUUAAGUCCCGUAACGAGCGCAACCCCUGUCCUUAGUUGCCAGCACAUUAUGGUGGGGACUCUAAGGAGACUGCCGGUGAUAAGCCGGAGGAAGGUGGGGAUGACGUCAAGUCAUCAUGGCCUUUAUGAGUAGGGCUACACACGUGUUACAAUGGACAGUACAGAGGGAGGCCAAGCCGUGAGGUGGAGCGGAACUCAGAAAACUGUUCGUAGUCCGGAUUGAAGUCUGCAAUUCGACUUCAUGAAGUUGGAAUCGCUAGUAAUCGCGAAUCAGAAUGUCGCGGUGAAUACGUUCCCGGGCCUUGUACACACCGCCCGUCACACCAUGGGAGUGGGUUGCAAAAGAAGUGGGUAGCUUAACAUUGGGCGCUCACCACUUUGUGAUUCAUGACUGGGGUGAAGUCGUAACAAGGUA
RNAcentral lists this ribosomal RNA (1524 nucleotides) under metagenome. RNAcentral describes it as "bacterial SSU rRNA". It matches the Rfam family "Bacterial small subunit ribosomal RNA". The record is from RNAcentral.